This 608-nucleotide ribosomal RNA is filed under the name Pseudomonas paralactis. RNAcentral's name for it is "bacterial SSU rRNA". Lineage: Bacteria; Pseudomonadati; Pseudomonadota; Gammaproteobacteria; Pseudomonadales; Pseudomonadaceae. The record is from RNAcentral.
AGUCGAGCGGUAGAGAGAAGCUUGCUUCUCUUGAGAGCGGCGGACGGGUGAGUAAUGYCUAGGAAUCUGCCUGGUAGUGGGGGAUAACGUUCGGAAACGGACGCUAAUACCGCAUACGUCCUACGGGAGAAAGCAGGGGACCUUCGGGCCUUGCGCUAUCAGAUGAGCCUAGGUCGGAUUAGCUAGUUGGUGAGGUAAUGGCUCACCAAGGCGACGAUCCGUAACUGGUCUGAGAGGAUGAUCAGUCACACUGGAACUGAGACACGGUCCAGACUCCUACGGGAGGCAGCAGUGGGGAAUAUUGGACAAUGGGCGAAAGCCUGAUCCAGCCAUGCCGCGUGUGUGAAGAAGGUCUUCGGAUUGUAAAGCACUUUAAGUUGGGAGGAAGGGUUGUAGAUUAAUACUCUGCAAUUUUGACGUUACCGACAGAAUAAGCACCGGCUAACUCUGUGCCAGCAGCCGCGGUAAUACAGAGGGUGCAAGCGUUAAUCGGAAUUACUGGGCGUAAAGCGCGCGUAGGUGGUUUGUUAAGUUGGAUGUGAAAUCCCCGGGCUCAACCUGGGAACUGCAUUCAAAACUGACUGACUAGAGUAUGGUAGAGGGUGGUG